Long non-coding RNA from Homo sapiens (human), 1164 nucleotides. RefSeq annotates it as histone-lysine N-methyltransferase SETMAR-like. NCBI's taxonomy places the organism in Eukaryota, Metazoa, Chordata, Mammalia, Primates, Hominidae. The record is from RefSeq and is a predicted model, not a curated record. The transcript is spliced from 2 exons.
CGCCACCUCGUGGCUGGGGUGCCUGCGCAAACCAGCUGCCUCACCAGCCCUGGAGCUCGCACCACGUGGCCUCACCUCACGUGUGCUGUCCCCCUGGCCACGUCUGUCUUUGUCUCACCUGACGUGCUGUGCCUCUCCUGCCAGGGCUCUGUCCUGUCUGCCGCCACUACCGCCGCAUGGCCCUGCUCGGCCUGCAGCCCGCUCGCCGCUUCGCUCCCUCAGAGACCCCGCGCCAGCGGUCCGUAUUGGCCACGACUAUGCAAAUGACGUUAGACAAAAAGCAAAUUCGAGCGAUUUUCUUAUUUGCGUUCAAAACGGGCAGUAAAGCAGCUUGGACAACUCACGACAUUAACAAUGCCCUUGGCCCAGAAACUGCUAACGAAUGUGCAGUGCAGUGGUGGUUCAAAAAGUUUUGCAAAGGUGACAAGAGCCUUGAAGAUAAGGAGCACAGUGGCUGGCCAUUAACAAUGACCAACUGAGAGCAAUUAUCAAAGCUGAUUCUCUUACAACUACAUGAGAAGGGGCUGAAGAACUCAACGUCGAACAUUCUGUGGUCAUUUGGCAUUUGAAGCAAAUUGGAAAGGUGAAGAAGCUUGAUAAGUGAGUGCCUCAUGAGCUGAGCGAAAAUGAAAAAAAAAUAGGUGUUUUGAAGUGUCAUCUUAUUCUAUGCAACAAUGAACCAUUUCUUGAUCGGAUUGUGACAUGUGACAAAAAGUGAACUUUAUACAACAGUCAGCGAUGACUAGCUCAGUCGGUGGACUGAGAAGAAGCUCCAAAGCACUUUCCAAAGCUAAACUUGCACCAAAAAAAGUCAUGGUCACUGUUUGGUGGUCUGCUGCCAGUCUGAUCCACUACAGCUUUCCGAAUCCCGGCUAAACCAUUACAUUUGAGAAGCACAGUCAGCAAAUUGAUGAGAUGCACCAAAAACUGCAAUGCCUGCAGCUGGCAUUGGUCAACAGAAAGGGCCUAAUUCUUCUCCAUACCAGUGCUCAACCACACCUUGCACAACCAACACUUCAAAAGGUGAAUGAAUUGGGCUACAAAGUUUUGCUUCAUUCGACAUAUUCACCUGACCUCUCUCCAACUGACUACCACUUUUUUAAGCAUCUCGACAACUUUUUGCAGGGAAAAUGCUUCCACAACGAGCAGAAUGCAGAAAAUGCU